Molecule: ribosomal RNA, 97 nt
Filed under: Acanthosepion pharaonis
Lineage: Eukaryota; Metazoa; Mollusca; Cephalopoda; Sepiida; Sepiidae
Source: RNAcentral
GUUGAAACACUGGUUCCAGUAUGAUCACUGAAUUUAAGCAAUGUUAAGCCUGGCCAGUACCUAGAUGAGUGACUGCUUGGGAAUACCAGGUGCUGUG